This is a non-coding RNA of Bos taurus (domestic cattle), 72 nucleotides long. The record is from Rfam. Lineage: Eukaryota; Metazoa; Chordata; Mammalia; Artiodactyla; Bovidae.
UCCCUGGUGGCUAAGGGGGUAAAGCAUCUGCCUGCAAUGCAGGAGACCUGGGUUCAAUCCCCGGAUUGGGAA